AUGCGCGAGAGUUGCAGAGGGAGAAGAGUGACUGGAGAUUUGGUUAAGAUGGAGGUUGGGAGAAGAAGAAGAGAGAGUUUUGGAGCGCGAUCUUUCUGUAGAAUCCAGAAUCUCCCCGAAUCUGGGCUGGGUUUCGGUUGUAAAACUCUGGUUAUUGAAUCAGUUGGUGGUUUAGCUGAAGCUGAUUUCCUGAACUGGAAAUCAUUUCCUGACUUUAUGAACUCCUUCCUACUUUUUCUUCUUUGGUUUAAUUGUGAUGCGUAUGUCUGGAUAUGUGCAAGGCUUUGUCGCGAACAAAAGGGCAUAUCAUGGCAUACCAUCAAGAUAUAA
RNAcentral lists this long non-coding RNA (330 nucleotides) under Vicia faba (fava bean). The record is from RNAcentral. Lineage: Eukaryota; Viridiplantae; Streptophyta; Magnoliopsida; Fabales; Fabaceae.